Molecule: non-coding RNA, 24 nt
Filed under: Arabidopsis thaliana (thale cress)
Lineage: Eukaryota; Viridiplantae; Streptophyta; Magnoliopsida; Brassicales; Brassicaceae
Source: RNAcentral
UCAAAUAAUAUUUAUUUUCGUUGC